UACGAAGGGGGCUAGCGUUGCUCGGAAUUACUGGGCGUAAAGCGCACGUAGGCGGCUUUCUAAAUCGGGGGUGAAAUCCUGGAGCUCAACUCCAGAACUGCCUUCGAUACUGGAGAGCUUGAGUCCGGGAGAGGUGAGUGGAACUGCGAGUGUAGAGGUGAAAUUCGUAGAUAUUCGCAAGAACACCAGUGGCGAAGGCGGCUCACUGGCCCGGUACUGACGCUGAGGUGCGAAAGCGUGGGGAGCAAACAGG
This 253-nucleotide ribosomal RNA is filed under the name uncultured bacterium. Its description in RNAcentral is "partial 16S ribosomal RNA". It matches the Rfam family "Bacterial small subunit ribosomal RNA", at positions 524 to 776 of the family's 1533-position model. The record is from RNAcentral.